This 432-nucleotide ribosomal RNA is filed under the name uncultured bacterium. RNAcentral's name for it is "partial 16S ribosomal RNA". It matches the Rfam family "Bacterial small subunit ribosomal RNA", at positions 29 to 507 of the family's 1533-position model. The record is from RNAcentral.
ACGAACGCUGGCGGCAUGCCUAACACCUGCAAGUCGAACGCGACCUUCGGGUCUAGUGGCGCACGGGUGCGUAACGCGUGGGAACCUGCCCUUAGGUUCGGAAUAACUCCCCGAAAGGGGUGCUAAUACCGGAUAAUGUCUUCGGACCAAAGAUUUAUCGCCUUUGGAUGGGCCCGCGUUGGAUUAGCUAGUUGGUAGGGUAAAAGCCUACCAAGGCGACGAUCCAUAGCUGGUCUGAGAGGAUGAUCAGCCACACUGGGACUGAGACACGGCCCAGACUCCUACGGGAGGCAGCAGUGGGGAAUAUUGGACAAUGGGCGAAAGCCUGAUCCAGCAAUGCCGCGUGAGUGAUGAAGGCCUUAGGGUUGUAAAGCUCCUUUACCCGGGAUGAUAAUGACAGUACCGGGAGAAUAAGCUCCGGCUAACUCCGUG